AGCAGCCGCGGUAAUUCCAGCUCCAAUAGCGUAUAUUAAAGUUGUUGCAGUUAAAAAGCUCGUAGUUGAAUUUCGGGGUUAGUAGGUUGGUCGUGCCACUGGUACGUACUGGUCUCACUGAUUCCUCCUUCCUGAUGAACUGUAAUGCCAUUAAUUUGGUGUUGCAGGGAAACUGGACUGUUACUUUGAAAAAAUUUAGAGUGUUUAAAGCAAGCUAACGCUUGAAUACAUUAGCAUGGAAUAAUGAAAUAGGACGUUCGAUCCUAUUUUGUUGGUUUCUAGGAUUGACGUAAUGAUUAAUAGGGAUAGUUGGGGGCAUUAGUAUUCAAUUGUCAGAGGUGAAAUUCUUGGAUUUAUUGAAGACUAACUACUGCGAAAGCAUUUGCCAAGGAUGUUUUCAUUAAUCAAGAACGAAAGUUAGGGGAUCGAAGACGACCAGAUACCGUCGUAGUCUUAACCAUAAACUAUGCCGACUAGGGAUCGGAUGAUGUUAAUUUUUUUAAUGACUCAUUCGGCGCCU
RNAcentral lists this ribosomal RNA (520 nucleotides) under uncultured Glomus. Its description in RNAcentral is "SSU rRNA". It matches the Rfam family "Eukaryotic small subunit ribosomal RNA", at positions 569 to 1088 of the family's 1831-position model. The record is from RNAcentral. Lineage: Eukaryota; Fungi; Glomeromycota; Glomeromycetes; Glomerales; Glomeraceae.